This 460-nucleotide ribosomal RNA is filed under the name uncultured bacterium. RNAcentral's name for it is "partial 16S ribosomal RNA". It matches the Rfam family "Bacterial small subunit ribosomal RNA", at positions 338 to 795 of the family's 1533-position model. The record is from RNAcentral.
CCUACGGGUGGCAGCAGUGAGGAAUAUUGGUCAAUGGGCGAGAGCCUGAACCAGCCAAGUCGCGUGAGGGAGUACUGCCCUAUGGGUUGUAAACCUCUUUUGUCGGGGAGCAAAAGCCGGACCUUUCCGGCUGUUAGAGUUCCCGCAGAAAAAGCAUCGGCUAACUCCGUGCCAGCAGCCGCGGUUAUACGGAGGAUCCGGGCGUUAUCCGGAUUUUUUGGGUUUAAAGGGUGCGUAGGCUGUGAGGUAAGUCAGCGGUGAAAUGCCCCCGCUCAACGGGGUGAAGUGCCAUUGAUACUGCGGUGCUGGAGUGCGGAGGCGGUGGGAGGAAUGUGUGGUGUAGCGGUGAAAUGCAUAGAUAUCACGCAGAACACCGAUUGCGAAGGCAUCUCACGGAUCCGCGAUUGACGCUGAUGCACGAAGGCGUGGGUAUCAAACAGGAUUAGAUACCCUAGUAGUC